This 649-nucleotide ribosomal RNA is filed under the name Escherichia coli. RNAcentral's name for it is "partial 23S ribosomal RNA". It matches the Rfam family "Bacterial large subunit ribosomal RNA", at positions 2251 to 2894 of the family's 2925-position model. Lineage: Bacteria; Pseudomonadati; Pseudomonadota; Gammaproteobacteria; Enterobacterales; Enterobacteriaceae. The record is from RNAcentral.
ACAGUGUCUGGUGGGUAGUUUGACUGGGGCGGUCUCCUCCUAAAGAGUAACGGAGGAGCACGAAGGUUGGCUAAUCCUGGUCGGACAUCAGGAGGUUAGUGCAAUGGCAUAAGCCAGCUUGACUGCGAGCGUGACGGCGCGAGCAGGUGCGAAAGCAGGUCAUAGUGAUCCGGUGGUUCUGAAUGGAAGGGCCAUCGCUCAACGGAUAAAAGGUACUCCGGGGAUAACAGGCUGAUACCGCCCAAGAGUUCAUAUCGACGGCGGUGUUUGGCACCUCGAUGUCGGCUCAUCACAUCCUGGGGCUGAAGUAGGUCCCAAGGGUAUGGCUGUUCGCCAUUUAAAGUGGUACGCGAGCUGGGUUUAGAACGUCGUGAGACAGUUCGGUCCCUAUCUGCCGUGGGCGCUGGAGAACUGAGGGGGGCUGCUCCUAGUACGAGAGGACCGGAGUGGACGCAUCACUGGUGUUCGGGUUGUCAUGCCAAUGGCACUGCCCGGUAGCUAAAUGCGGAAGAGAUAAGUGCUGAAAGCAUCUAAGCACGAAACUUGCCCCGAGAUGAGUUCUCCCUGACCCUUUAAGGGUCCUGAAGGAACGUUGAAGACGACGACGUUGAUAGGCCGGGUGUGUAAGCGCAGCGAUGCGUUGAGCUAA